UUAAUAAAAAAUAAUCUUCAUUCUAACAAAUUGUAUUCUUUCCAUAAAAAUUAAGACUCCAUUAUUUUGUAUGCUACCAACUCUUGGAAUACUAUUUGAUUCUAACAAAUCAUACUCUUUCUAUAACUCCAUGAUUUUGUAUGCUGGAAUAUUACUUGAAUUAAUUGUCUUCUUUGUAAAUUUUAUUUAGUAUAUAAUGUUUAAACUGAAUUUUUGUUGGGAUUCGGUUCGAACCAUUAAUCGAUUGCUCUCAUCGGAUCCAGGUCAAAUUCAAUUUAAACAACUAAAUUUAUUUUUUUUUAAGGGGAGAAUCGGUGAUGUUUGGGGCAAAAUGUAUUGCCGAGAUGAUUUGGAAAGUGAGCUGUGGCAAUUUAGGAGGUAAGCUGAAGUGAUUUGGGAGGUGAUUGUAGUGUUCUAAGUUUGGAAUAUUAUGGCGAGCUAGUGGAGUUCGCGGGUGUUAAUUUAGAGAGUUUCGAGAAUAGCUCUAAAAAGCUUAUCCAAUUAGGUCUAUAGAGCUUGUAAGAUAACUCAUAUAAACUCAUAGAUGAAAUAUGAUUGGGGCAUCAAAACCAUCGUAAUAAGUAGAAAAUAAGCAUAAAUAAAAAAGAACUUAAAGAUUUUGUGGUUCGGCGUUUUGGCCUGCAUACACAAGAGUAGCUCAUCUCUAAUCCACUAUAUAAAUGAAGUAUUACAUUAUUUACUCUACAGUAUCAACAAAACCUUAUUCAAUGUUGUUUAUAAUGAGUAAAAACAUGAAGAAAAUGUGGGUUUUAUGGAGAUUAGAGGGUUUUAUAAGAGAAGAAUAAUGAAGAAACUUAUUUGAAAGACAAAGUGGCUAAGAUCUUCCAUGGAAGUACAAAAAUGGAGAGAGAAGAAGAUGAGGCAACCUCUCAAGAAAUUAGAUCAAAAAAAAUGCCCAGAGUAGGAUAGAGCAAAAGGAGAGAAGGUUAGAGCUAGAGAUCCCCUCAAAAUUGAACAUGUGAGCUUAUAUAAGAGUGCUCAUGAGGAUAUUUUAGUAAUCUUGGACACGUGGUGCUCAAUUAAUGGGUAGUCUUCUUCAGGUGAGACUAUUUGAGUAAUUUAUCUUGUGGUCUCUUCAUAAUGACACAGAUGAGCUUAAGAGAUAAGGAAUCCUCUAGCACCUUUUUGCCUCCACAACUGGGCACAUGGCUACCUCUUAGCCUUGUGGUCUUGCUGCUUUUCAGAUGAUAGCAAAGGAUAGCUAAUGUAGUCCCCUCCUAUAUCUUUGCUCAAAGAAUUUUUAUUUCCAUUAACUCCUUAUUCUCAACCAGAAAAAAAUAUUUUAUUCUUUCUCAUUAUGGCAUGCACUGUAUAAGUUCUGGCUCUAACUACCAAAAUUUAGGUUCCAAUAAUCCCCCUUAAUAUCAGGCAUUUUGUCGAAACUAUCAUUUUUUUGUGGAGCUUAUUUCUCACUUUCCUGUGAGCUAUCUUGUUGUCCUAGUCAAACAAAAUGUCUUCCCUUGCUUGACUUUUUAUUACCAAGUGUCACUGAGUUAUUGGCGUAUGUCAGCAUUCAGAUUUCCCUAAACAAGAUACCUCAGAUUUCUUUGUGUUGAAAGAAUUAAAGCACAAGAAACUCAAAGAGAAAAUUUUGCAUGGGUGACACAUGCGAGUUGCUACUGAGUCACCCUUUUGAUCACUCGUGAAUUUUUGAGUUAUUAUGAAGUGUGCAACUAAACUUUCUUCUAUGUCUAGUGAUUUCCAUUCUGAGUUGUACUCAACUCUGGUGAUGAUAGUUAAGCUGCACUAAGCUAGCUUUGGUGAUAUUGAUACUUGAGCUAUACUUAACUCUUGCAAUUUCAAUACCGGAGCUUAUUUCCCAAUUUCCUAUAAGCUAUCCUGUUGUCCUAGUCAAACAAAAUGUUUUCACUUGGUUGACUUUUUCUUGCCAUGAGUCACUAAGCAUCCAUAUUUCAUCCCCAAACAUAUAAUAUUAAAAUAAUUCGUGUUAGA
This 1974-nucleotide long non-coding RNA is filed under the name Citrus x clementina. Its description in RNAcentral is "Citrus clementina (C. clementina) long non-coding RNA (CCLE_LNC002681)". Lineage: Eukaryota; Viridiplantae; Streptophyta; Magnoliopsida; Sapindales; Rutaceae. The record is from RNAcentral.